GUGGGGAAUCUUGCGCAAUGGGCGCAAGCCUGAUCCAGCCAUGCCGCGUGAGUGAUGAAGGCCCUAGGGUUGUAAAGCUCUUUCACCGGAGAAGAUAAUGACGGUAUCCGGAGAAGAAGCCCCGGCUAACUUCGUGCCAGCAGCCGCGGUAAUACGAAGGGGGCUAGCGUUGCUCGGAAUUACUGGGCGUAAAGGGCGCGUAGGCGGACAGGUUAGUCAGAGGUGAAAGCACAGUGCUCAGCCUUGGAAUUGCCUUUGAUACUGGCUGUCUUGAGUUUGUGAGAGGUGAGUGGAACUCCGAGUGUAGAGGUGAAAUUCGUAGAUAUUCGGAAGAACACCAGUGGCGAAGGCGACUCACUGGCCCAAUACUGACGCUGAGGCGCGAAAGCGUGGGGAGCAAACAGGAUUAGAAACCCCUGUAGUCC
Molecule: ribosomal RNA, 425 nt
Filed under: uncultured bacterium
Lineage: Bacteria
Description: partial 16S ribosomal RNA
Rfam family: Bacterial small subunit ribosomal RNA
Source: RNAcentral